GCCAUGCCGCGUGCAGGAAGAAUGCCCUAUGGGUAGUAAACUGCUUUUAUACGGGAAGAAAAAGAGCUACGUGUAGCUUACUGACGGUACCGUAAGAAUAAGGACCGGCUAACUCCGUGCCAGCAGCCGCGGUAAUACGGAGGGUCCGAGCGUUAUCCGGAAUUAUUGGGUUUAAAGGGUCCGUAGGCGGGCGAUUAAGUCAGUGGUGAAAGUCUGCAGCUCAACUGUAGAAUUGCCUUUGAUACUGGUCGUCUUGAGUUAUAGUGAAGUUGCCGGAAUAUGUAGUGUAGCGGUGAAAUGCAUAGAUAUUACAUAGAACACCGAUUGCGAAGGCAGGUGACUAACUAUAUACUGACGCUGAUGGACGAAAGCGUGGGGAGCGAACAGGAUUAGAUACCCUGGUAGUCCACGCCGUAAACGAUGGAUACUAGCUGUCCGGGACCUUGAGUCCUGGGCGGCCAAGCGAAAGUGAUAAGUAUCCCACCUGGGGAGUACGUUCGCAAGAAUGAAACUCAAAGGAAUUGACGGGGGCCCGCACAAGCGGUGGAGCAUGUGGUUUAAUUCGAUGAUACGCGAGGAACCUUACCAGGGCUUAAAUGCAUUUUGACAGGGGUAGAGAUACCUUUUCCUUCGGGCAAUUUGCAAGGUGCUGCAUGGUUGUCGUCAGCUCGUGCCGUGAGGUGUCAGGUUAAGUCCUAUAACGAGCGCAACCCCUACCGUUAGUUGCCAGCAUGUCAUGAUGGGGACUCUAACGGGACUGCCGGUGCAAACCGUGAGGAAGGUGGGGAUGACGUCAAAUCAUCACGGCCCUUACGUCCUGGGCCACACACGUGCUACAAUGGCAGGUACAGAGAGCAGCCACGUCGCAAGGCGGAGCGAAUCUACAAAACCUGUCACAGUUCGGAUCGGGGUCUGCAACUCGACCCCGUGAAGCUGGAAUCGCUAGUAAUCGGAUAUCAGCCAUGAUCCGGUGAAUACGUUCCCGGGCCUUGUACACACCGCCCGUCAAGCCAUGGAAGCCGGGAGUGCCUGAAGUCCGUCACCGUAAGGAGCGGCC
Molecule: ribosomal RNA, 1057 nt
Filed under: Arctic sea ice bacterium 7m31
Lineage: Bacteria
Description: bacterial SSU rRNA
Rfam family: Bacterial small subunit ribosomal RNA
Source: RNAcentral